RNAcentral lists this RNase P RNA (384 nucleotides) under Congzhengia minquanensis. RNAcentral's name for it is "Bacterial RNase P class A". It matches the Rfam family "Bacterial RNase P class A". From Rfam's summary of the family: Ribonuclease P (RNase P) is a ubiquitous endoribonuclease, found in archaea, bacteria and eukarya as well as chloroplasts and mitochondria. Its best characterised activity is the generation of mature 5'-ends of tRNAs by cleaving the 5'-leader elements of precursor-tRNAs. The record is from Rfam by way of RNAcentral. Lineage: Bacteria; Bacillati; Bacillota; Clostridia; Eubacteriales; Oscillospiraceae.
UGAGUAAGUCAGAUGGUUGCGGGAGAAUUGUUUCUCACGAGGAAAGUCCGGGCUUCGCAGGGCAAGGGUGCCGGGUAACUCCCGGUGGAGGCGACUCUAAGGACAGUGCAACAGAAAUAGACUUCCUGCAUAGCUUUCUGUAAAGAUUGAAUUGUACAAUAUGUGCCUGUGCAGGUAAAGGUGGAAAGGCGAGGUAAGAGCUCACCGGCGCUGCGGCGACGCUGCGGCCAUGUAAACCCCAUCCGAAGCAACACCGUAUUGGCUUACGCAGGCUUAGCCGGCCCGGCAUGCCUGUGUUUGGCGGUGGCUUGAGCCGUGCAGUAAUGUGCGGCCUAGACAGAUAAUCAUCAAAUACAGAACCCGGCUUACAGAUUUGCUCAACAA